AGUUAAGUGACGAUAGCCUAGGAGAUACACCUGUUCCCAUGCCGAACACAGAAGUUAAGCCCUAGUACGCCUGAUGUAGUUGGGGGUUGCCCCCUGUUAGAUACGGUAGUCGCUUAGCGU
Molecule: ribosomal RNA, 120 nt
Filed under: Streptococcus salivarius
Lineage: Bacteria; Bacillati; Bacillota; Bacilli; Lactobacillales; Streptococcaceae
Source: RNAcentral